This 253-nucleotide ribosomal RNA is filed under the name uncultured bacterium. RNAcentral describes it as "partial 16S ribosomal RNA". It matches the Rfam family "Bacterial small subunit ribosomal RNA", at positions 524 to 776 of the family's 1533-position model. The record is from RNAcentral.
UACAGAGGUCUCAAGCGUUGUUCGGAUUCAUUGGGCGUAAAGGGUGCGUAGGCGGCGCGGUAAGUCGGGUGUGAAAUCUUGGAGCUUAACUCCGAAACUGCAUUCGAUACUGCCGUGCUUGAGGACUGGAGAGGAGACUGGAAUUUACGGUGUAGCGGUGAAAUACGUAGAUAUCGUAAGGAAGACCAGUGGGGAAGGCGGGUCUCUGGACAGUUCCUGACGCUGAGGCACGAAGGUCAGGGGAGCAAACGGG